Molecule: ribosomal RNA, 252 nt
Filed under: Peptostreptococcus stomatis
Lineage: Bacteria; Bacillati; Bacillota; Clostridia; Peptostreptococcales; Peptostreptococcaceae
Also listed under: 3 other names
Description: partial 16S ribosomal RNA
Rfam family: Bacterial small subunit ribosomal RNA
Source: RNAcentral
UACGUAGGGGGCUAGCGUUAUCCGGAUUUACUGGGCGUAAAGGGUGCGUAGGUGGUCCUUCAAGUCGGUGGUUAAAGGCUACGGCUCAACCGUAGUAAGCCGCCGAAACUGGAGGACUUGAGUGCAGGAGAGGAAAGUGGAAUUCCCAGUGUAGCGGUGAAAUGCGUAGAUAUUGGGAGGAACACCAGUAGCGAAGGCGGCUUUCUGGACUGCAACUGACACUGAGGCACGAAAGCGUGGGUAGCAAACAGG